AGUGAACGCUGGCGGUAGGCCUAACACAUGCAAGUCGAACGGCAGCACAGUAAGAGCUUGCUCUUACGGGUGGCGAGUGGCGGACGGGUGAGGAAUACAUCGGAAUCUACUUUUUCGUGGGGGAUAACGUAGGGAAACUUACGCUAAUACCGCAUACGACCUACGGGUGAAAGCAGGGGAUCUUCGUACCUUGCGCUAUUGAAUGAGCCGAUGUCGGAUUAGCUAGUUGGCGGGGUAAAGGCCAACCAAGGCGACGAUCCGUAGCUGGUCUGAGUGGAUGAUCAGCCACACUGGAACUGAGACACGGUCCAGACUCCUACGGGAGGCAGCAGUGGGGAAUAUUGGACAAUGGGCGCAAGCCUGAUCCAGCCAUACCGCGUCGGUGAAGAAGGCCUUCGGGUUGUAAAGCCCUUUUGUUGGGAAAGAAAAGCAGCAGGUUAAUACCCCGCUGUUCUGACGGUACCCAAAGAAUAAGCACCGGCGAACUUCGUG
This 492-nucleotide ribosomal RNA is filed under the name uncultured bacterium. Its description in RNAcentral is "partial 16S ribosomal RNA". It matches the Rfam family "Bacterial small subunit ribosomal RNA", at positions 29 to 507 of the family's 1533-position model. The record is from RNAcentral.